Hibiscus syriacus is the source of this 222-nucleotide long non-coding RNA. RefSeq lists it as uncharacterized. The transcript has 3 exons. The record is from RefSeq and is a predicted model, not a curated record. Lineage: Eukaryota; Viridiplantae; Streptophyta; Magnoliopsida; Malvales; Malvaceae.
CCAAACUAUAAAUAAAAAUGAACUUUAUGUUUGGCACUAAAUAGAUGCAGUUAUUAGCGAUGAGAGAUACAACCUUGCUGUAAUUGAACACAAUGUCAAGCUCGCAAACAUUCUGGAAGCAUUUGUCCAACGUUUCCACAAAAACUGAAGGCAUCAUAUCUAAAGUAAGUAAAAUUAUCAAAUAUUUAAAAUAAAUAUCAAUAAUUAGGGGUUCUAGUAAUA